This is a long non-coding RNA of Ornithodoros turicata, 3518 nucleotides long. RefSeq lists it as uncharacterized. The record is from RefSeq and is a predicted model, not a curated record. Lineage: Eukaryota; Metazoa; Arthropoda; Arachnida; Ixodida; Argasidae. The transcript is spliced from 4 exons.
CUUCCACCUACCCGUCCGCCCUUAUUGCACUCGACUUUCAGUACAUUGUGCUGCUUGGGUCUAUUCCCAACAGUUUGUCAACAUGUUCCUAGAAUAGCUGACGUGGGGGCGCACAACAUAAAACUGCAGGAAGGGCACGUGUCGAGACGGGCGUAUCCUUAUCGGACGUCGCUACUUUUAAGAAAGGAGGUGGAAAGGCAGAUAAACGACCUUCUAGAGCAAGCCCAGGCAGCACAAUGUACUGAAACUCGAGUGCAAUAGGGGUGGACGGGUAGGUGGAAGGCCCUGCACGGACCCUGGAAGCUAAAGAACAUUGAUAAGACACAAUGCCUUCCACACCCAUUGCAGUCGACUUUCAGUACAUUGUGCUGCUUGGGAGGGCCCGUAUACCCGACCGUCACCGGAAGUACUGCCGCAUAACCCCAAGCAGCACAAUGUACUGAAAGCCGAGUGCAAUAGGGGUGGACGGUAUGUCUUAUCAGUGUUCCGUAGUUUCAAGAGUCUGUUCAAGGUCUUCCACCUACCCGUCCGCCCCUAUUGCACUCGACUUUCAGUACAUUGUGCUGCUUGGGACAGUGAGCACACACACACACCUAAAGGGUGCAUUUGGAAUUGCGGAACACCUCAGAGUGUGUUGUUAAGCUCGUGUCUUUUUAGUGUUCAAGCAAUAAAUGUGACCACGGCGUUUUCGCUGCACUACCGUGCGUCAGUCGCCAAGUUCUCUCCGAAUUUCGGACAUUAACUGAGCUGUAAAUCGUAGACUCCGAAAAACUCCGUUUUUUUUUUGUUGAAAAAAAAAAACAAAACAAAAACAAUAAACUCCGAAAAACAUCCUCCGGUAACGCCCAGAAAUAAACUCCGAAAAACCCGAAACCCUAGACUUAUCUCUUUAACAUCUGUUUUGUCCUGUAUCCCCCUCGAUUUCCCUUGCAUGUGUGCUGAACUAUCGCUCAGCAGAAAACCGGAUUUCUGCGUAUACCCUGGGAAAGGUCCAGUCCACGAUAACGGAGUUGCGCUGGGUGUGAGUUAGGGUUGCCACCAGGCCGGUAUUAUACCGGCAGGGCCGGUUAUUUGCUCGCUCUGUUGGUUGCCGGUAGGAAGGCGAUACCGGCAGGCUUUUGCCGGUAUUUGUGGCUCAACACCUUUCAUAAGGGUUUUUACGGGGUUUUCCUUUCAACAUUCCACUACAGCUUGAAUAAAUCUGGAGCACAGACCCCCCAACUCCGUAGUCACCAGUCGUUUUCUUAGUUAUUCAUUAUUAUUAUCAUUGUUGUCUCGAGCGAGUACGCUCCUUUCUUUCUCUCUCUCUCUGUAUACUCUCCACCCCUCACUCACUUUCCCUUUCCCGCGAACAUUUCCUUCUUUCCCUCUAUUCCACCUCCUCUCCCUCAGCCGGUAUUUUGCACUCCGAAAGAUGGCAACCCUAGACUGUGAGUACGUGUAGUUCCGUUCAGCGGAAGCUAUGCACACGAUGCCGAUAAAAAGAAACGCGUUUUUGCAAGAAUGCAGUUAUAGCAAGUUGCCGUCCUGCCUCAACCUUCGUCGACACCCACUCUGUCUGUGCUCGGAGAAUCUAACGCGCGCCCCACCGAGACAAUCAUCAGCAAGUAGCCAUGAAGGGAUUCUUUGUUCUCAUGUUGCUCGUCGUUUCAUUUGUAGCAAUCCAGGCAGCGCCUGCCCUCUUCAACUUCCUCGAUGAGUCCAGCUUUGGCAGAUAUGCUACUCGUGACUAUCCCACACAUAUCCCGACCGUUCCCGGCUACCGUUCAGGCAGGGCCGCCCAGCCCGGUAACCUCAGAACAAUGUGACGCAUGAAAGGAACAGUUCGAAGACAUCCUACCGACCACUUGGCUUUGGAUAUUCUCAAUGCGUACAUGCGCUAUAAUUUGCGCACCAUACUAGAUUCUUCGCUUACCUCUCAAGCUAUCUCCCAACGCCGUGUUCUCUAUAUUUCUCUUUUGUCUUUCUCUCCUACGGAUUCUUUCAUGCCAACAUAAUUUUGAAUAAAAUACGACUUUGAUCCGCAGCCGGACAUAGGGUCCUGCAUGGUAAAACGAGAAUUAACACUACCAACGAAAAUCGGCGGCGCCAGGGGGCGAAGAUACAGUAUAUCAGUGAUGGCCACUAACUACUUCUAUAAUUUAACUCUAACUACUAACUAUACUACUAACAGUACUAUAUUACCAUGGUCUUCACAAAUGUUACAUUCCCAACUUGCGAGUAACCAUAAUUGCGUAUUACAACUACGCUACUAUAUAUUUACUUAUAUGCUCCAGUUUGAUAGUUCAUUUUAGUUUUAGGUCCUCAAUAAUUUUGGUUCCUUUCAUUUAGCUUUAUUUCAUUUUCAUUUAUUUAGCUAAAUUUAUCUAAAUGAUACCGUACAGAUACUACCCUGCAGUAUCCGAAUUACAGAAAAUUGUCGUUUCCAUUUGUCUCAGGUACUUAGAGUGUGUGUAUAUCCAUUUGUAUUACCUGUUCUGUUUCUGUUACCUUUCCCUGCUUGUGACGUCCAAGAGAUCACGGCAAUGAAGAGUUCUGACAAAGAAAAACACUUUAUUUGUAAACAGCAAACACAGCAAGUGCUGGAAUUGUACAGGAUGUAACUUCUCAGUGAUGAGCUGCACUGACAAACUGGAAAGUUGCGAGACAUAUUAUGCAAUAUAAAUUAGUAAUAUAGUAUGCAGAUUUUGUCAGGCAUUGCUUGACUCCCAGUGCUGUAGUUUAAUUUCUGUACCUGAGAUCACACAAUGUACAAGGUGUCAAGGGAUAAGCUUCUUUUUGUAUGCACUAAAAAUCCUUACAAAAUGAACAGAACUUGUUUUCUGUUUGAAUAUUAACGAUUAAAUUCUGUGGUGGUCUAACCACCUACCAUAGUCUUUUCUUCUCAGCUCCAUAGCUUUUUCUUAGGAGGAAGUCUUAGUUUCUUUUAACAAUACCAAUCAAAGAUUGCUGGCCACGCCACUGUCGACAUGUAUUUUCUAAUUUCUAGAAAUUCUCAUUACGUUUUGGUUUAUUGGGGUACACAAAUAAUGAGAAAUUGGUUGCCCGUGUAGCGGAAGCACUGAUAAUGUGUGCAGGCACCAUCUUGGCCGGUGGGUUCUAAUUAAGUGUAUUGCUUACGAGAAAGAGCUGUACAAAAAAAUUUAUACUCGUCUAUGCUUUACGGGACGAUGAAUCUCCGCCAAACUCUUAUGAACAGAAUGUCACGCAGAAAAGGAAAACACUGUGCUGACUUUUACGGUGGAAAUGUACAUAACAAGUUUUAUUUUUGGACACUUUGGGUGACGUAAUGUCCAUAACACUGAACCCAAACUGAUCUAUCUGAAAGAUGCUGAUAUACCUGUCGUCCUAAAGUUUUUAACAGAAUGUUGUGUUCGUUACAUGAUAUAAUAUAUAGGCGUCUACUUGCUGAGGUAGCCGUUGUAUCUUGAGGAUAAGCUGCCGCGACUACAAGCUUAGGAAUGUACUCCAUUAUUACAAAUAUAUAAAGUUCUUGCCACGGUGUGGUCCCACAAAGC